Molecule: small nuclear RNA, 104 nt
Organism: Molossus molossus (Pallas's mastiff bat)
Lineage: Eukaryota; Metazoa; Chordata; Mammalia; Chiroptera; Molossidae
Source: RefSeq, a predicted model, not a curated record
GUGCUCGUUUCGGCAGCACGUAUCCUAAAAGUGGAACGAAACAAAGAUCAGCGUGGCCAUGGCGCAAGGAUGACACGCAAAUUAGUGAAGUGUUCCGUAUUUUA